RNAcentral lists this ribosomal RNA (252 nucleotides) under uncultured bacterium. RNAcentral's name for it is "partial 16S ribosomal RNA". It matches the Rfam family "Bacterial small subunit ribosomal RNA", at positions 524 to 776 of the family's 1533-position model. The record is from RNAcentral.
UACGGAGGAUGCGAGCGUUAUCCGGAUUUAUUGGGUUUAAAGGGUGCGUAGGCGGACGCUUAAGUCAGCGGUAAAAUUGCGGGGCUCAACCUCGUCGAGCCGUUGAAACUGGGUGCCUUGAGUGGGCGAGAAGUACGCGGAAUGCGUGGUGUAGCGGUGAAAUGCAUAGAUAACACGCAGAACUCCGAUUGCGAAGGCAGCGUACCGGCGCCCAACUGACGCUGAAGCACGAAGGCGUGGGUAUCGAACAGG